GGGGCUAUAGCUCAGACGGUUAGAGCGCUUCCCUGAUAAGGAAGAGGUCCCAGGUUCAAGUCCUGGUAGCCCCACCA
This 77-nucleotide transfer RNA is filed under the name Sphaerisporangium viridialbum. Its description in RNAcentral is "tRNA-Ile". It matches the Rfam family "tRNA". Rfam says of the family: Transfer RNA (tRNA) molecules are approximately 80 nucleotides in length. Their secondary structure includes four short double-helical elements and three loops (D, anti-codon, and T loops). Further hydrogen bonds mediate the characteristic L-shaped molecular structure. tRNAs have two regions of fundamental functional importance: the anti-codon, which is responsible for specific mRNA codon recognition, and the 3' end, to which the tRNAs corresponding amino acid is attached (by aminoacyl-tRNA synthetases). tRNAs cope with the degeneracy of the genetic code in two manners: having more than one tRNA (with a specific anti-codon) for a particular amino acid; and 'wobble' base-pairing, i.e. permitting non-standard base-pairing at the 3rd anti-codon position. RNAcentral also lists the same sequence under 54 other names. Lineage: Bacteria; Bacillati; Actinomycetota; Actinomycetes; Streptosporangiales; Streptosporangiaceae. The record is from RNAcentral.